CCCGCCCGCAAAGGCGGGCGCAAAACAGCGAGACUUCGGGACUAAACAAGCCGCCUUCGCACAGCAGCACCGGGGCAAGCGAGGCUGAGCCUCCCUUCUUUACCGAGCAUGGGGCAGGGCUGGUGAACGACAAUACUGGACUAACAGACUUAUCCGUGCUUAGUUGUUGUUUUUUUUUUCUCUCCAAAAGACACCGCAGGAUCCUGUAAUAAGACAUGCAAAUACUCCCAGAUCCCUGUCUGAUUUAGCGUGGGGGAUCAACCUGCUCUGGUGAUGAAUCAGGCUUAUGCAGUGAAGGAAGCUGUUUAUGAACUCCCUGCCUCAUUUGUUGCACAAGUUGGAAGCUAUGUCAUGAAUGAGGCAGGGACCUGCAAGAAGAGAAAAUACCGUUUCAUGGUGAAUGGUGUUCUGGAGAACUGGAUUUUAUCCCUGACUCCAGCACAGAGUUCCUGUAUGGUCCUAGGCAAGUCAAUUAAACCAAAUUUUUCAGA
Molecule: long non-coding RNA, 491 nt
Organism: Caretta caretta (loggerhead turtle)
Lineage: Eukaryota; Metazoa; Chordata; Testudines; Cheloniidae
Source: RefSeq, a predicted model, not a curated record